Molecule: transfer RNA, 86 nt
Filed under: Malassezia globosa
Lineage: Eukaryota; Fungi; Basidiomycota; Malasseziomycetes; Malasseziales; Malasseziaceae
Also listed under: 1 other name
Description: tRNA-Glu
Rfam family: tRNA
About the family: Transfer RNA (tRNA) molecules are approximately 80 nucleotides in length. Their secondary structure includes four short double-helical elements and three loops (D, anti-codon, and T loops). Further hydrogen bonds mediate the characteristic L-shaped molecular structure. tRNAs have two regions of fundamental functional importance: the anti-codon, which is responsible for specific mRNA codon recognition, and the 3' end, to which the tRNAs corresponding amino acid is attached (by aminoacyl-tRNA synthetases). tRNAs cope with the degeneracy of the genetic code in two manners: having more than one tRNA (with a specific anti-codon) for a particular amino acid; and 'wobble' base-pairing, i.e. permitting non-standard base-pairing at the 3rd anti-codon position.
Source: RNAcentral
UCCUAAUUAGUACAGCGGCUAGUAUAUGUCGUUUUCAUCUCUAUGAAAGCGCCGACAAGACCCGGGUUCGAUUCCCGGAUUGGGAA